Oncorhynchus nerka (sockeye salmon) is the source of this 3226-nucleotide long non-coding RNA. RefSeq lists it as uncharacterized. The transcript is spliced from 2 exons. Lineage: Eukaryota; Metazoa; Chordata; Actinopteri; Salmoniformes; Salmonidae. The record is from RefSeq and is a predicted model, not a curated record.
AUCAAAUGCUGUUUUUUCUAUAUAUUUAGUUCAGCUGAAAAUACACGUGGCAGAAUCCUCGGACAAGAUCACACUAUCACGUGUUGAUGGUUUCACUUUCAGCCCUAAUAAUGAAACUACUCAUAUAUUGGAUUACAAGGAUGAGAACACAGGGGAGUUUGUAUGCAAGAAAGACGGAAGGGAAGAUCGCAAAAUCUAUGUGAAAGGUCGGAGUAAGUACAGUACUGCCACUUCCCUCAAUGUACAAUGAUAUGGCACAAGAAUUUAAGAAGUCAAUAUUUGUUUGUGUGUAUGCCAUUAUAAUACACGUCAUUAUAAUGUACGUGUGUACACGGAUUGUGCGUGCGACUGCUUGCGUGCAUUGUGUGUAUGUAUGGCGUGUUUGUGUGUGUGUCCAGCCUGUGAUAAAUGCAUUAAGCUGGAUACAGCUACGGCUGUAGGGAUGGUUGUGGGAGUCCUGGUGGCCACUGCCUGAUUGGAGUAGCUGUUUACUGCAUCGCCUCACAGCCCAAAGCAACACUAACCGCCGGCAAGAAAAACAGAUCUGAAUACAGCACUCUGCCGGAAAGGAGAUGAAGAGAAUAAUAAUAUGUGCUCAGUGCUACAUUACUUUCACCACCCCUCAGAAUAAUAGUUGUAAAGCAUUGAGAAAUCAGGUCCACAAUGUCCAUGACAAGUCUCUCAACUGUCAAUUUGAUGUACAGAACCAUUGACUGUACAAGUUAAUGCCAUUUGGAUGUUCGAUGUACAGUGGGGCAAAAAAGUAUUUAGUCAGCCACCAAUUGUGCAAGUUCUCCCACUUAAAAAGAUGAGAGUGGCCUGUAAUUUUCAUCAUAGGUACACUUCAACUAUGACAGACAAAAUGAGAAAGAAAAUCACAUUGUAGGAUUUUUUAAUGAAUUUUUUUGCAAAUUAUGGUGGAAAAUAAGUAUUUGGUCAAUAACAAAAGUUUAUCUCAAUACUUUGUUAUAUACCCUUUGUUGGCAAUGACAGAGGUCAAACAUUUUCUGUAAGUCUUCACAAGGUUUUCACACACUGUUGCUGGUAUUUUGGCCCAUUCCUCCAUGCAGAUCUCCUCUAGAGCAGUGAUGUUUUGGGGCUGUUGCUGGGCAACACAGACUUUCAACUCCCUCCAAAGAUUUUCUAUGGGGUUGAGAUCUGGAGACUGGCUAGGCCACUCCAGGACCUUGAAAUGCUUCUUACGAAGCCACUCCUUCGUUGCCCGGGCGGUGUGUUUGGGAUCAUUGUCAUGCUGAAAGACCCAGCCACGUUUCAUCUUGCUGAUGGAAGUAGGUUUUCACUCAAAAUCUCACGAUACAUGGCCCCAUUCAUUCUUUCCUUUACACAGAUCAGUCGUCCUGGUCCCUUUGCAGAAAAACAGCCCCAAAGCAUGAUGUUUCCACCCCCAUGUUUCACAGUAGGUAUGGUGUUCUUUGGAUGCAACUCAGCAUUCUUUGUCCUCCAAACACGACGAGUUGAGUUUUUACCAAAAAGUUAUAUUUUGGUUUCAUCUGACCAUAUGACAUUCUCCCAAUCUUCUUCUGGAUCAUCCAAAUGCUCUCUAGCAAACUUCAGACGGGCCUGGACAUGUACUGGCUUAAGCAGGGGGACACGUCUGGCACUGCAGGAUUUGAGUCCCUGGCGGCGUAGUGUGUUACUGAUGAUAGGCUAUGUUACUUUGGUCCCAGCUCUCUGCAGAUCAUUCACUAGGUCCCCCCAUGUGGUUCUGGGAUUUUUGCUCACCGAUCUUGUGAUCAUUUUGACCCCACAGGGUGAGAUCUUGCGUGGAGCCCCAGAUCGAGGGAGAUUAUCAGUGGUCUUGUAUGUCUUCCAUUUCCUAAUAAUUGCUCCCACAGUUGAUUUCUUCAAACCAAGCUGCUUACCUAUUGCAGAUUCAGUCUUCCCGGCCUGGUGCAGGUCUACAAUUUUGUUUCUGGUGUCCUUUGACAUCUCUUUGGUCUUGGCCAUAGUGGAGUUUGGAGUGUGACUGUUUGAGGUUGUGGACAGGUGUCUUUUAUACUGAUAACAAGUUCAAACAGGUGGCAUUAAUACAGGUAACGAGUGGAGGACAGAGGAGCCUCUUAAAGAAGAAGUUACAGGUCUGUGAGAGUCAGAAAUCUUGCUUGUUUGUAGGUGACCAAAUACUUAUUUUCCACCAUAAUUUGCAAAUAAAUUCAUUAAAAAUCCUACAAUGUGAUUUUCUGGAUUUUUUCCCCUCAUUCUGUCUGUCAUAGUUGAAGUGUACCCAUGAUGAAAAUUACAGGCCUCUCUCAUCAUUUUAAGUGGGAGAACUUGCACAAUUGGUGGCUGACUAAAAACUGUUUUGCCCCACUGUACAUACAUUACCUGUUUGCUCAGUUGCUUUGUUAAGUUUGCGCUACUGUUUUGCAUGAACUAAGAUUUCCUUCUGGAACCAUAUAUCACACGUUUGUUGAAUUCUAUUUAUUUAUUUAUAUUGUAGAGAAAUUGUUUAUGGACAUACAUACAUUUUCCACGUAUUUAAAAAAAAAAAAAUAUAUAUAUAUAUAUAUAUAUAUAUAAAAAAAAACACAUUUUAGGCUGUUUUGUUAUUCCAUGUAGUAACACCAUUUUUUAUUUGCUUUUAUAAUCCGAGCAUAUACUUUUUUUUCAACCUGUGUACAGAUAAUGUUUGAAGAAUUAAGGUGUACGGCGGUUAGUUUUGAACUCCAAAGCUCUCGCUCAUCACUGUACCCUCUACAUGAGAGGGAGCUGGCCUUUCUUAGCUCUUUGGAGACAUAGUCAUUGGUACGUCUUCAUCGAUAAGGCCAUACUGAGACAGCUUCCCUUUUGCCUGUGUACCUACAUUGUCCAGCAGACAAAUGACACCUAUCAGCUCUGCUCAGAGGACUGUAUCUUGUUGACUGUGCCCGGACAGAGCUGGGUAAAAAAGCAUUCUAUUUCUCUGGCCCUUCCACUUGCUACAAGCUACAGAAGGACAGGAAAUUGCAGGAGCUCGUGUUUUUGAAUUAGUUUAAAGAUAAGGUCAAAUCUAUGGUGGACAAUAAAGUGGGUGGCUGUCAAUGUUUUGACUCCUAGAUGCAACACACCUCACCAAUUCAUUUAAAUUGUCGUGCUUUGUGUAUCAUGUUGUAAUUGUGUCUGAAGCAACUAUUUUGGCCAGGUCACUCUUGGAAAAUAGGUUUUUCAUCUCAAUGAGACUAACCUGGUGAAAUUAAACCAAAAUAAAUAAAUAAUGAAAUGGAAA